CCUAGGGUGGCUGCAGUGGGGAAUAUUGGACAAUGGGGGGAACCCUGAUCCAGCCAUGCCGCGUGUGUGAAGAAGGCCCUCGGGUUGUAAAGCACUUUCAGUGAGGAAGAACGCCUGGUGGUUAAUACCCAUCAGGAAAGACAUCACUCACAGAAGAAGCACCGGCUAACUCCGUGCCAGCAGCCGCGGUAAUACGGAGGGUGCGAGCGUUAAUCGGAAUUACUGGGCGUAAAGCGCGCGUAGGUGGCUUGAUAAGCCGGUUGUGAAAGCCCCGGGCUCAACCUGGGAACGGCAUCCGGAACUGUCAAGCUAGAGUGCAGGAGAGGAAGGUAGAAUUCCCGGUGUAGCGGUGAAAUGCGUAGAGAUCGGGAGGAAUACCAGUGGCGAAGGCGGCCUUCUGGACUGACACUGACUCUGAGGUGCGAAAGCGUGGGUAGCAAACAGGAUUAGAUACCCGAGUAGUC
Molecule: ribosomal RNA, 464 nt
Filed under: Vreelandella stevensii
Lineage: Bacteria; Pseudomonadati; Pseudomonadota; Gammaproteobacteria; Oceanospirillales; Halomonadaceae
Description: partial 16S ribosomal RNA
Rfam family: Bacterial small subunit ribosomal RNA
Source: RNAcentral